Molecule: ribosomal RNA, 499 nt
Filed under: uncultured Glomeromycotina
Lineage: Eukaryota; Fungi; Glomeromycota
Description: partial small subunit ribosomal RNA
Rfam family: Eukaryotic small subunit ribosomal RNA
Source: RNAcentral
CCAAUAGCGUAUAUUAAAGUUGUUGCAGUUAAAAAGCUCGUAGUUGAAUUUCGGGAUCAAUAUAUCGGUCGUGCCUUGGUACGUACUGGUAUCAUUGGUCUCUCCUUUCUGACGAACCAUGAUGUCAUUAAUUUGGUGUUAUGGGAAGUUAGGACUGUUACUUUGAAAAAAUUAGAGUGUUUAAAGCAGGCUUUGGCUUGAAUACAUUAGCAUGGAAUAAUGAAAUAGGACGUUCGAACCUAUUUUGUUGGUUUCUAGGAUCAACGUAAUGAUUAAUAGGGAUAGUUGGGGGCAUUAGUAUUCAAUUGUCAGAGGUGAAAUUCUUGGAUUUAUUGAAGACUAACUACUGCGAAAGCAUUUGCCAAGGAUGUUUUCAUUAAUCAAGAACGAAAGUUAGGGGAUCGAAGACGAUCAGAUACCGUCGUAGUCUUAACCAUAAACUAUGCCGACUAGGGAUCGGAUGAUGUUAAUUUUUUAAUGACCCAUUCGGCGCCUUACG